GUAGACACUUGCUAUUCCUUUUGGGUGGGAGCAACAUUGAAGCUCUUGAAUAUAUUCGAAUAUACAAAUUUUGAGAAAAACCGAAAUUACAUCCUGUCAACUCAAGAUCGUCUUGUUGGUGGAUUUGCCAAGUGGCCAGAUAGCCAUCCAGAUGCUUUACAUGCCUACUUUGGGAUCUGUGGUUUGUCGUUAAUUGGAGAACCUGGUAUUUGCCAAGUUCAUCCCGCCCUGAAUGUAAGCACAAGAACCACAGAGCGCCUUCACCACCUUCAUCAGAUCUGGAAAACAAGGACUCUAAACAGUGUUCGGACAACACACACGUCUCUACAUGACUGAUUUAGACUUGAAUGUAGUUCUGGUAGCAUAAUUGUAGCCCAAGGUUAAAAGCCAUGUAUAACCAAUGUGCUCUUUUAAGUGCUGGAGUCAUACAAUCAGAUCUGUGUUGGUGGCAUCACUUUGAUAGGGAGUUGCCUUCAGCGGGUUAUUCUGCAUUGUG
Molecule: long non-coding RNA, 496 nt
Organism: Haliaeetus leucocephalus (bald eagle)
Lineage: Eukaryota; Metazoa; Chordata; Aves; Accipitriformes; Accipitridae
Exons: 3
Source: RefSeq, a predicted model, not a curated record